This 497-nucleotide ribosomal RNA is filed under the name uncultured bacterium. RNAcentral's name for it is "partial 16S ribosomal RNA". It matches the Rfam family "Bacterial small subunit ribosomal RNA", at positions 28 to 507 of the family's 1533-position model. The record is from RNAcentral.
GAUGAACGAGGGUGGAGGGAAGAAUACAGGCAAGUCGAGCGAACGGACGAGAAGCUUGCUUCUCUGAUGUAAGCGGCGGACGGGUGAGUAACACGUGGAUAAACUACCUAUAAGACUGGGAUAAAUUCGGGAAACCGGAGCUAAUACCGGAUAAUAUUUUGAAACGCAUGGUUCAAAAGUGAAAGACGGUCUUGCUGUCACUUAUAGAUGGAUCCGCGCUGCAUUAGCUAGUUGGUAAGGUAACGGCUUACCACGGCAACGAUGCAUAGCCGACCUGAGAGGGUGAUCGGCCACACUGGAACUGAGACACGGUCCAGACUCCUACGGGAGGCAGCAGUAGGGAAUCUUCCGCAAUGGGCGAAAGCCUGACGGAGCAACGCCGCGUGAGUGAUGAAGGUCUUCUGAUCGUAAAACUCUGUUAUUAGGGAAGAACAUAUGUGUAAGUAACUGUGCACAUCUUGACGGUACCUAAUCAGAAAGCCACGGCUAACUACGUG